This 994-nucleotide long non-coding RNA is filed under the name Gossypium barbadense (sea-island cotton). RNAcentral's name for it is "long non-coding RNA (GBAR_LNC010039)". Lineage: Eukaryota; Viridiplantae; Streptophyta; Magnoliopsida; Malvales; Malvaceae. The record is from RNAcentral.
GACAAAUACAUAUCAUACACUCAGCAUUAAUUCAAGAAAUGCACUACAAGCAAGAAGAGAAGCCUUAAGUUCUCAACUUCAAUAAACCAGUAACUUAUGCUUUACCUGCUACUUCUGUCAUCAAUACAAAUCUGUACAGUUAAGGGCAAAUAAAACCUACAGAACAUCAUAAGAAACUGUUAAACAUAACAAAUGCCAAGAGACAAAAGAAAUAGCACAAUCCAAGCAGAAACCAUUGCAGGAAAGGAAAUUCCGUGCUCUUUUACUGUAAUAGUUUGAAACUGAAAUUUCAUCUGCUCCGUUGAAUAAACCAUUAAUUUCAAGCUCUACGGAAGAAUUAGUUAACAAAGGGUCAUCUAUGAAAGUCACAUUCAAUGCAACAACACUAUUAACUUGUAGUUGUUUUGGAAGCGACUGCAACAAUGAGUCAAGCUUUAUUAUUCCUUCUUUGAUCUUCUUGAUAAUCGCAUCUUCAACUUCAGACAUGAUUUUCCCUCGAAAAGCAUCAAUGAUCUUGGAUAAUAAGUUGAAUAAAUACAAUAAGUAUCAUAACAGGAAAGAUAAGUAUCUCCGGCAGAACCUAAAGAACAAGAUGGUAAACCUAAAAGAUUCAUGUAUGUGAUUUUUAACUGAUGCAUAAUUUAGUUUUGUAGAAUACUAUUAACAAGUUAUAAAAAAACCCUAUGGUUUAAUGACAGAAUAAUGACUGAUUCUAUGUAUUUGGAGGGUCCUUGAAGGAUCAUUUCCCCAAUCUUACGUCUGAACAUUUGUGGGACGUGGAUGCUUCAAUAAAAAUGAAGAGUUCGAUUGGCAUAGUUGUCCGAAUAGGCAACGAUAGCAUACCCUUGAUAAAGCCAAGAAGCUCCACCAUCUACACUUAUGGAGAUAUCUUUCACAUGACAUUCAUAGUCUGAUAAAAAUAGCUUGAGAGUUCCUUCUUCGUUUAUAACAGUCGCUUUAAGCCACACCACCAUGCCUAGAACCUAUGAACCAG